UGCCAGCAGCCGCGGUAAUACGUAGGGGGCAAGCGUUGUCCGGAUUUACUGGGCGUAAAGAGCGUGUAGGCGGCCAAGCAGGUCCGUUGUGAAAACUGGAGGCUUAACCUCCAGACGUCGACGGAAACCGCGUGGCUAGAGUCCGGAAGAGGAGAGUGGAAUUCCUGGUGUAGCGGUGAAAUGCGCAGAUAUCAGGAAGAACACCAAUGGCGAAGGCAGCUCUCUGGGACGGUACUGACGCUGAGACGCGAAAGCGUGGGGAGCGAACAGGAUUAGAUA
Molecule: ribosomal RNA, 279 nt
Filed under: uncultured bacterium
Lineage: Bacteria
Description: partial 16S ribosomal RNA
Rfam family: Bacterial small subunit ribosomal RNA
Source: RNAcentral